CCGCGGAGUGUGCGCGGAGGCGGGGGGCCGCGCCCGCGGAAGGGCAGCGCCGCCGGCCGGCCCCUGCCCGCCCCGGGAGCCGCAGGCAGCCAGGAGCCAGGAAUCACGGCGGGCCAUCCCCCCACGUCUCCCUCCAGCCGCGGCCGCUCACAGCCUUUCUGUCUCUGCUCGUUUUGUCGGCACAACCUGCUGAGACCAGGAUCAGCGUGAGUGUGAUUGGCAGGAGCUCCGGCUAAGGGAAACCUCAGGAGCCUUCUUGCCUCGGGCAGUCUCCUGAAGAUGUGGCGAUGGGCUGGGAUCGUGCAUCAGCGAUCAGCAGUUUUUGCUGCCUUGUCUGUAAGCCGAGCGUGGGCUGGCGCCUCCGCAGGGAUGCAGAGUGGGGAGCACCGGGAGGGGAAGCCCCGGCAUGGCUGGGUUCCUCAAAAUGCAGCGUGAUAGCGGGGUGAGAGGCCUCUCCCAGCAGCCGAGGACAGCUGACACGGAUGAACCCUCUUCCAAAGGGAAUAAAACAGACGUAAUUGAGCAUGUUAUUCUGCAGCUGCAAAUAACUCACUGAAGAGAAUCGAAGGAAACACGUUUCUUUGAUUAGAAUAUUUUUUCUCAUUGACAGGAUGUUCAAAAUAAAGCAAAAAUAUUUGAUGCACAGAGCCUGUGGCAGUAUCAAGUUAGCACUGGCGUGCUCACGCAUUUUACUUCAUGUUUACUAAUCAAUCAAAAAAGACUCUUGCUAGAAAGAAAGGUCACGUCUUUCAUCACAAAACUGAAACUUUUUGACAGCAACACUUGGAAUUUUACCAUUCUGUUCAAUGCAGGUUUCAGCGCAGGGAACGAACACCCAAGGCGGCAGGAUGGUGGGUAUGGGAUUAGAUAAACAAGCAGAGCUGUGCUUUCUAAAUGUUGGGUGCCACUUACUCUGAAUAAGGAUGCUGUCUCAGCUGUAUCAAGAUAUGAUAUGUCAUGGGUUUAGCUGGGAUAGAGUUAAUUUUCUUCACCAUAGCUGGCACAGUGCUUUGGACAUAGUACGAGAACAAUGCUGAUAACACACCGAUGGUUUGGCUGUUGCUGGGCAGCGCUUGUACUAGUCAAGGGCUUUUCCAGCCUCCCGUGCUCUGCCGGGGGCACAAGGAGCCGGGAGGGGAGGGGGCACAGCUAAGAGAGGGGAUCCAAACUGGCCAAAGGGAUAUUCCACAUCAUGUAACGUCAUGCCCAGUGUGUUACCUGGGAGGGGCUGGCCGGGGGAGGGAGGCAGCAAUCGCGGCUCGGGGACGGGCAGCGUCGGUCAGCGGGUGGUGAGUGGGUGUAUCGCUUGUGGUUUUGUCUUUUUCCUUUUUAACCUUUUCUAUUUUAUUAUAUUAUCAUUAUUGUUAUUAUUAUCAUAAUCAUUAUUAUCAUUAUUAUUUUAUUUUAAUUCUUAAACUGUUCUUAUCUCACCAGGGUUUUUUUUGUGCUUUUGCUCUUCCGACUCUCUCCCCCAUCCCACAGGGGUGGGGGGAGCGAGCAAGCGGCUGCGCGGUGUUCAGCUGGCCGACUGGGGCUGAACCACGACAGAUGCUAUUCUAAAACAGUGGUAUAUAAGUUUGAAUUAUUUGGAGACGAGGCUAAAUAGUGUUUGGGUGGGUAGGUAUUGGUGUGCAGUUUUGGCUCAAAGACAACUGUGCAUGUCUGAGGCAGGGUGCUGUAUGAGGAGCUGGCCUGCAGGGCAUGCGAGCAACCUGCAGAGUGUUACACCAUGUUCCUCUUCUCUAUACUCUUCUCUGUUUUAUCUCAGGACAGAAACAAACUCUCUAUGCCUCUACCAUGGCCUUCUAGUUCUGUUCUUUCUCUGAAAAUGUUUUUAAAGACCUGUGUCUUGAUAAAGUGAAUUUUCUUGGCAGUUGGAAAAAAAAGUACAGUGUUUUCCCAGAUAGAAAAUACAGCCUGAUAGUUUCACAAGCAAAACAAUUUUUUUCUUCUCUCCCUUUCCUGUUUCUUCUGCUACAAGCGGAGAAGCAGCCCUGCUGUCCUUCCUCAGCUGGGUAAGGGAAUCUCUGCGAGGUAAGGGGCUGCGAGCAGAUGUGGCCAGACAACACCGCUCAGCGCUCGUCUUCACAGCUUCCUUGGCUCUUCCGUGAGUUACAAGCAUGCCCUUGAAAGAGCAGGGGUGAAACCAGAGAAGUGACCGUGAAAUAUCACCAGGUUUAUUGCCUUUCCUUCCCCUCCACUGGUUCCACAGGCUUCAGCCACCUCCAAGGAGUCUCCCAGGCAGUGACAAUAACAGGACCCAGACUUAGCCCUGGCCAGGAUUUACACCCUUGGGCUCCUGGAGAGAUCGUUGAUAUGAAAAAAUGCAUAUGUUGCCUGCAGCUAUAGCACAUAUUGCAUGGCAUGACACGCACAUAAGUGAGAUUAAUUUGAGUUCUGGGCAUCAUUAGCUCAAUUAAAACUGUGAUUUUUUUUAGUUCAGACCUACAGGCCAUUGCGGAGAAGUGUAAUCAUAAGACAGAAACAAGUUCCCUAGUUAAAAAUUAAUUCCCUAGACUAAAAAUAUAAUCAAACGAUGUCUACAGUAUUUUAUGAAGAGCUGAGAGGAUAAUAAAAUUUAAAGCAGUGCAACAUUUGCAUUUUGUUCAUUUCUAUCCAUAUUUUUCCAUCGACUGCCUUUCUGUGUGCUUGUUAAUCAUAUGCACUGCUACAGUCCUGGCAUUUUAAGAUCACUGUUCACAUCAAGAUUGAAAGGAAACUAAUUACAAUCACAUUUCAGGCUGGUUGCUUAAAGCUCGUACAGCGCUGACUACAGCACAGGAGCCUUGACCUUUAUUUGUAAGCAUGAAAAUAAGGUAAAGAUGAAAGCUUGCUUUUCCUGCAGCUUGUAUGCAGGGAUCAGGAGGCCCUCUGGAGAAGCAGAAAUGUGGUAAGUCCCCACACCAUCUCUCUCCUCGCCUCCUCUCCCAUGCUGGCAGCAGAGGCCAGUAGUGCUAUGCAGAAGCUGUGCUCCGCUGCAGGGAGAGGUGAACGAAGGCACCACGUUGUUUUGCAGCUCUCCCUCGGGCUGCUGGAAGAACAUGCAAUGAAUUAGCAGACCCGAGGAGUCUGUUGUUCUGACCCCAGCCCAGAGCUUUUUAGUUAAUGGUUUGCUUCGCCUCGCUCUGCACACCACGCUCAUGAGAUGAUCGAGGUAUCAACACGUGCAGGCUACCUGUGGGCGAGACCCGCAAGCAGUACUGUGAUCUCUUCUGACACUCGUGUUGUGGCUUAAUAACACUAAUAGGAUCUAGGUGGAUGCAUCGGGGCAGAAAAAGGUCCCCCCUAACCAGGGGAAGUACAGGUAAUCCUAAUGUUCUCCCUGAUUUCACUAAAUGUGAAUGCAUUUAGAGCCUGCUGAACGGCAAAUUUAUUCAGCAGGUUUCGCCUGCUUCUUUGUCCCCAAAUUAUCAAAAUUAUAAUUUUAAUAAAUGUGUACUAUGCUCAAAAUAAACCGAGAGGUAGUUACACAAACAGGUUUCAGCCCAGGAGCUGCUGAUGCGGUGUCUGAAUGCUCCUUUCAGUAUCAUUACCCAGCGUUCGAAGCCUUGCCAUGGUAAGCGCCGACCCCCAAAGGAUCUCCUGAGCUUGCAUCCUCCCUGGGUUAUCGCAGCUCUGCACCGAAAUGAGUUCAUUGAAGAAAGGUGCACCAGCACUGAACUGAAGCGAUCCUAUUCUCCUCUUGUAUGCAGUGCUGUAUUCACCCUACACAACCAUUUCAUUUGCCAGGCUCCUUUUUUCUAGCAGAAAUCACUGUUGGAGCCCUGAGGAUCGGUGGGUUUAUUGGCAGUAUCAGCCAGGUAAUUUGUAUCUCCUGGUUGGAAAAGCUCUAUUUAGGGCAUUAAGCAAUGAAAGAAGGGAAACUCAUCUCACGCUGACUCAGAAAACCCUCCCAACCCACAACCAUCGCUAGGCAUACCGCAGGCAGAGGACCCUGCUUGCCCGGUCCGUGCUGAGGACGCAGACCUCGGCGUGGUCGCUGCUGGGGACCCGGUUGCCAUUUGAGCCGAGAAGCAAAGAUGGUUUCCAAAGCACAUUUGUGGUGUAUUCUGCUUCUGUCUACAUUCCUCAACGCAAAAAUUUACUCAUGCAAAUAUUUACAGAAACUAGAGAAAAAAAAAAAAAAAAAACUAGUGAAAGCUGCUGCAGUGAACUUCUAAUUACAAUCCACAAAGUGUUUAUGAAUAAAUUUAUCUAUUAUUUGUCUAGUUCUAGCACUGCGUAUACUUUGCCUUGUACCAUUACAGGCUGAAGGAAACAAUAUGCAGCAUGAAAAUGAAAACAAUUUGACUUAAUUAUUUACACCAUUACCACCCCUUUGAAUUAGGCCCUCUAUUUCUUUGGUAUUUUGUAAAAUUUAACUGGUAAUUACGCUUGCUUAAUUCAUUUUAUUUAUCUACUACUACAAUAAGAUCAAAACAAAAAACCUACCAGAAUGCAAAGUGCCAGCUAUGUCCCCUAAUUGUAAAUGUUGCUUUUAAGCUUUUAUGAUAAAAAUGUAGUAUUUGGUGCCAUUUCAUUUAAAGUGUAUCUGGCUGUGCUCCAAUACUAUUUAAGCAUAAACAGGAAAAGCCUUGGAGGACAAGUAAUCAUACUUAAAUGACACAAAGAUCAUUAAAAUAAUGUUCCAAAAACAUGGCAAAAUUAGAUGUUGCAAGACUGUUUUCUUCUCUGAAGUGUUUCACCAGAUGGUGAAGAGUGCUGAAAUAGUAGAUCUGAGUGAGAAGGAAAAACAUUUCAACAGUUUUCUCACGCUAGCGCCAUACAGCGUGCACAGCUCUCAUCUGAGCUUGUCUGAAGUGGCAUCUCACACCUUGGCUUAAUCAAACGUUCCAGCUCCAGAUAACAUCGAGGUGUUCAAGUGAGGCUCAGUGCUGAAUCACAGUUUUGGGAAAUCCCUGCUUUAUUCUGUUAAAGUUGUCAGCCAGAUUUAUUCAGAGAUGAGAACAAAUGAGCGUGUCAGCAUAAGUUAUUGUGGUAAUUUGCGAAACUCUUAAUGAGAUAUUUUCAGUGCUCAUAAAAAAGAAGAGCCAUGUCAUUAAAUUACUGCACAAUAAGUGCAUUUUGAUACAGGAAGAGUUGGGUUUUUAUCAGAAGUGACACCCUGCGUCGGUGGGGAUCCAUCAGUGAGCUGUUAGUAUUUAAAUACAAGGGUCUAACAGCCAUCUCAGAAAGUCAGCGCUUGUUCAUACAUAUGGGAAAGUGUUUGUAUAUGUUAGCUACUGUGUGAAAUGGCCACAGGUGAGGUGACUCUGCACCUUUAUUACUAAGACUUUACAAGGUUCCUUACUACAGGACUUGUUAUGCCUCCAGAUAUCAUUAGUUUUUCACUAGCUUUUUCACUUUUUUUUUUUUUAAUAAAACCCUCUAAUCUUGUUACUUAAAUAUUUAUAGGAAAUUAUCCUGUCUUGGCUAGGGGUUUCUACUUUUAGGAAUACUGGCGAUCUCCCAGUACACCACCACCUCCCCCACCCUGGCCAUCCAUCACCUACUGAACAAGGUGUAACAUUUGGAGGUCCUGAAAUCACCAGUGGUUUCUGCUGACCCGUUACCAACCCUAGCUCUCUGUGGAAAGGCCUGUCACAUCCUAGGAGGUAGCCAUAAAAGUACUGGAGAUACAAAGGCACAGUGGGGACAAGAUCUGUCCUCUGGAGGAGAGGAUUUCUCAUCAGCUGAGAACAAGUGGCUGGGCCAAAUGAUGGGCAAGAGUGUGUAAAUGCACUUCCAAGGUCCCCACCUUCCAGAAACGCUGGGUUUCUCAACCAUUUCCUGGGGAACGGUGGCAAAAUCAAAUCCACAGAGAAACUCAGCCAUUUUAAGUAAAAGAGCCUGAAAUGGAAGGUGACUUCAUUCCUGAUUGGCAGUCAUUCUGGUUCCAUGCUGAGCAAGGGAACAGCCUCUUAUUCACUAUAUUACAAAUAACUUUGCACUGAGUACUCGUAAUGUCCAAAUAACAGCCUGCAUGAUGCAGUUGGUAUACUUCCAUUAUACAGAGUUAGCAAUAAAAAAUGAAGAAAAAAUCCCCCACCACUUUCCAUAUACCCCCAUUCAAUGAACAUUCAGAAGAGGGGCUUGCAGACUGGAAAGGAUGAAUAUAAUUUUAGCAAUCCAAUUGAUCGGUUUACAUUCAGCUCAUCUGCUGAAGGAAAAAGCUUGGUGUGGGUGGUUUUCCAUAGCCUGUGUUAAAUGAAAGGCUGAUUUUAGCCCACUUCCUUGGGGACAGGUGACCGUUCGAUGAGCAGACACUGUAGAUGACAUUAACUAUUGUCCCUACCAUCCUUCUCAGGUGGUUGCAUCGGCAUAGGAUGGAAAGUGUCCCACAGUCUUAAAAACUAGCUGAUCUCUGAACAGCUGAGAGCUUGCGCUGAUCCCCGAUGUUAUUUCCAAGCUAAAUAACCGGGGAGAGCUGGGUCUCAGGAACACUCUGUGCCUCAGUUUCCCAUCUGUAAAAUAGUAAUACAAGGACAUUAGUAAAACAUCGCUGUAUUUUCCCCUCGUAUGGAUCGUUUUCUUUUUAGAAGGGCUUGUCUAGGAACACCAAAUCUUUCUGAAAGCUUGAUUUACAAAAAAACCCUUGACAACCGUUGGUAAAUUCUCUGUCGUCACCAAGGCAAAGCCUUUAUUCUCCAGUCUGAGCUUAAUUAUGUUUCUGGAACUGUAUCACGUAGGCCUAGAUGAAAUUCUUGCUUUCUUUUCAAGAAAGUCGCUCUACGUUUGCAUUUGCUUUGACAGAAGCGACUUUUCUCAGUACUACGGUGCCAAUAUGGAGUGCUUAAAAUUGCAAAGCUCAGUUGUACAUCUAUUUUAUAUUCUACCUAAAUUCUAGGCAAAAUAUAAUUUCUUAUACUUAAAUACUAAUGCCUCUGAGAGAGAAAAAAAAGCCUGGAUUGAGUAGAAGAUAUAUUGAAAUCAAAUCCUUUAACGUGCUAUGCCGCUAAGAAAAGAGCUCCGUCUCCACCAGCCAGCAGAGGUUGCUCCGAUGUUAAUGAUUAAUCAUGGAACUUAUUUUCAGUAAUAAAGCAUAUAAAGGAAAUCAAACACAAAUAUUUAAAUGAUUAAAUGAUCUAUGAAUGAGAAUGAUAUGAAAUGCGCUAUGUGUGAGUAGCUUGUGAAGCAGCAGUCCCUAGCCUAUGUCUUGGGGACAACCUGCUGCCCACGGGGUGUUCCGAUGCCGUGGUGCAGCCACGGCAGCCAGGCAGGCUCCAGGAAGAGCGGAGCUUUGCCAGCACAUCACUUGGCCAAUCCUGCUUCCCGUGAGAUGGUGAGAACUGGGAUUCCUGUUUUAGCAUAUAAAUUUUCUCAGUCCGGCCCUUAAAAAUCGAGGUUUUGUUCAAUGA
Molecule: non-coding RNA, 7337 nt
Organism: Phalacrocorax carbo (great cormorant)
Lineage: Eukaryota; Metazoa; Chordata; Aves; Suliformes; Phalacrocoracidae
Source: RefSeq, a predicted model, not a curated record